RNAcentral lists this ribosomal RNA (490 nucleotides) under uncultured bacterium. Its description in RNAcentral is "partial 16S ribosomal RNA". It matches the Rfam family "Bacterial small subunit ribosomal RNA", at positions 30 to 507 of the family's 1533-position model. The record is from RNAcentral.
AUUGAACGCUGGCGGCAGGCCUAACACAUGCAAGUCGAACGGUAACAGGAAACAGCUUGCUGUUUCGCUGACGAGUGGCGGACGGGUGAGUAAUGUCUGGGAAACUGCCUGAUGGAGGGGGAUAACUACUGGAAACGGUAGCUAAUACCGCAUAACGUCGCAAGACUAAAGAGGGGGACCUUCGUGCCUCUUGCCAUCGGAUGUGCCCAGAUGGGAUUAGCUAGUAGGUGGGGUAACGGCUCACCUAGGGGACGAUCCCUAGCUGGUCUGAGAGGAUGACCAGCCACACUGGAACUGAGACACGGUCCAGACUCCUACGGGAGGCAGCAGUGGGGAAUAUUGCACAAUGGGCGCAAGCCUGAUGCAGCCAUGCCGCGUGUAUGAAGAAGGCCUUCGGGUUGUAAAGUACUUUCAGCGGGGAGGAAGGGAGUAAAGUUAAUACCUUUACUCAUUGACGUUACCCGCAGAAGAAGCACCGGCUAACUCCGUG